Molecule: ribosomal RNA, 468 nt
Filed under: uncultured bacterium
Lineage: Bacteria
Description: partial 16S ribosomal RNA
Rfam family: Bacterial small subunit ribosomal RNA
Source: RNAcentral
GACGAACGCUGGCGGCGUGCUUAACACAUGCAAGUCGAACGGAAAGGCCCGGCUUUUGUGGGGUGCUCGAGUGGCGAACGGGUGAGUAACACGUGAGUAACCUGCCCUUGACUUUGGGAUAACUUCACGAAACUUAGGCUAAUACCGGAUAGGAGCUCCUGCUGCAUGGUGGGGGGUGGAAAGUUUCGGCUGUGGGGGAUGGACUCGCGGCUUAUGAGCUUGUUGGUGGGGUAGUGGCUUACCAAGGCUUUGACGGGUAGCCGGCCUGAGAGGGGGACCGGCCACAUUGGGACUGAGAUACGGCCCAGCAUCCUACGGGGGGCAGCAGUGGGGAAUAUUGCACCAUGGGCGGAAGCCUGAUGCAGCAACGCCGCGUGCGGGAUGACGGCCUUCGGGUUGUAGACCGCUUUCGCCUGUGACGAAGAGUGAGUGACGGUAAUGGGUAAAGAAGCACCGGCUAACUACGUG